GUUAGUGUCAAAUCUGUAUUCCUGUGGUUGAAGUUCAAACUUCACACUCAGGUUUCAAGCCUGUUACCUACAGACAGAAGGCAUGGCAAGCACCACUAUCUCAGGAAACAAAAAUGGGCUUGAUCACUGCUACCAGCAGCUGCCUGGGAGCUGGUGGAGACUUCGUCGUUCAUGGAGACCCAAAGCAUAGAAAAAGCAAGUUGAACUGGACUUGUAUUGUCUUUACUUUCAGACUCAAAGAGAGGAUCACAGAAGUCAAUGGAAGAUCACGAAGCAAUCUCAUCUUGGAUUGUAUUUUGAAUUUGAUUAUGUUAGAAAUGACUCUUUGUAAGGACUCAUCUCCAUGUGACUCCUGGCCCUGCUUCCAUCAAGCCUUCAGCAAUCUCGUGGCUUUCUUGGGAUGCUUCUACACAAACUGCUUUGACUUACCCCAUUCUGUAUGGCUUUAAUUCAGUCCAGUGGUGUUUCACACUGGUUUCACUGUAAGAAUUAAAUAUGCCUUGUGUCAUUUGUGGCUUCAUCAGAAUUAUUUUUUCCAGUGCCAGUGAAAAAGGAGACAAGGGAGUGGUAGGGAAUAAAGGGGAGGGAGUGUUUACUGACAGCUGAAUGCCUUCUCGGCCUUGUCUUGGCUUUUCCUCAGACAUUGCUUUUGUUAAUAUUGUCUCUCCAGAAACAUGUUGCUUUUUGGAAGUUGAUUUGCCUGUAUAGAGCAAUACAGACCUUUGUGUGAA
Long non-coding RNA from Pipra filicauda (Wire-tailed manakin), 731 nucleotides. RefSeq lists it as uncharacterized. The record is from RefSeq and is a predicted model, not a curated record. NCBI's taxonomy places the organism in Eukaryota, Metazoa, Chordata, Aves, Passeriformes, Pipridae. The transcript has 3 exons.